RNAcentral lists this ribosomal RNA (402 nucleotides) under uncultured prokaryote. RNAcentral describes it as "bacterial SSU rRNA". It matches the Rfam family "Bacterial small subunit ribosomal RNA", at positions 355 to 774 of the family's 1533-position model. The record is from RNAcentral.
UAGGGAAUAUUAGAAAUGGACGAAAGUCUGAUCUAGCGACACCGCGUGUGCGAUGAAGGCCUUCGGGUUGUAAAGCACUUUUUGGAAGGAAUAGGAAGGAAGGUACUUCCAGAAUAAGUCUCGGCUAACUACGUGCCAGCAGCCGCGGUAACACGUAGGAGGCAAACGUUAUCCGGAUUUACUGGGCGUAAAGCGUGUGUAGGCGGUUUGAUAAGUUGGAUGUGAAAGCUCCUGGCUUAACUGGGAGAGGUCGUUCAAAACUAUCAGACUUGAGAGUGGUAGAGGGAGGUGGAAUUCCGCAUGUAGUGGUGAAAUGCGUAGAUAUGCGGAGGAACACCAGUGGCGAAAGCGGCCUCCUGGCCCAUUUCUGACGCUAAGACGCGAAAGCUAGGGUAGCAAACG